This 301-nucleotide ribosomal RNA is filed under the name uncultured bacterium. RNAcentral describes it as "partial 16S ribosomal RNA". It matches the Rfam family "Bacterial small subunit ribosomal RNA", at positions 509 to 807 of the family's 1533-position model. The record is from RNAcentral.
CAGUCGCCGCGGUAAUACGAAGGGUGCAAACGUUACUCGGAAUUACUGGGCGUAAAGCGUGCGUAGGUGGUUGUUUAAGUCUGCUGUGAAAGCCCUGGGCUCAACCUGGGAAUUGCAGUGGAUACUGGGCAACUAGAGUAAGGUAGAGGAUAGUGGAAUUUCCGGUGUAGCAGUGAAAUGCGUAGAGAUCGGAAGGAACAUCUGUGGCGAAGGCGACUAUCUGGGCCAUUACUGACACUGAGGCACGAAAGCGUGGGGAGCAAACAGGAUUAGAUACCCGUGUAGUCCCUGUCUCUUAUAC